Molecule: ribosomal RNA, 874 nt
Filed under: uncultured bacterium
Lineage: Bacteria
Description: bacterial SSU rRNA
Rfam family: Bacterial small subunit ribosomal RNA
Source: RNAcentral
AGGAUGAACGCUAGCGGCAGGCCUAACACAUGCAAGUCGAGGGGUAACAUAGAGGAGCUUGCUUUUCUGAUGACGACCGGCGCACGGGUGCGUAACGCGUAUGCAACCUACCUCUUACUGGAGGAUAGCCCGAAGAAAUUCGGAUUAAUACUCCAUAGUAUUUGAUUUUCGCAUGAUUAUCAAAUUAAAGAUUACGGUAAGAGAUGGGCAUGCGUCCUAUUAGCUUGAUGGUAAGGUAACGGCUUACCAUGGCAACGAUAGGUAGGGGGCCUGAGAGGGUGAUCCCCCACACUGGUACUGAGACACGGACCAGACUCCUACGGGAGGCAGCAGUGAGGAAUAUUGGGCAAUGGAGGCAACUCUGACCCAGCCAUGCCGCGUGCAGGAAGACGGUCCUAUGGAUUGUAAACUGCUUUUAUUUGUGAAUAAACUCUCGGACGUGUCCGAGCCUGAAUGUAGCAAAUGAAUAAGCACCGGCUAACUCCGUGCCAGCAGCCGCGGUAAUACGGAGGGUGCAAGCGUUAUCCGGAAUCAUUGGGUUUAAAGGGUCCGCAGGCGGACGUAUAAGUCAGUGGUGAAAUCUCUCGGCUUAACCGAGAAACUGCCAUUGAUACUGUACGUCUUGAAUUCGGUCGAAGUGGGCGGAAUAUGUCAUGUAGCGGUGAAAUGCUUAGAUAUGACAUAGAACACCGAUAGCGAAGGCAGCUCACUAGGCCUGGAUUGACGCUCAGGGACGAAAGCGUGGGUAGCGAACAGGAUUAGAUACCCUGGUAGUCCACGCCGUAAACUAUCAAUACUCGUUUUCAGCGAUAUACAGUUGGAGACUAAGCGAAAGUGAUAAGUAUUGCACCUGGGGAGUACGAUCGCAAGGUUG